CUCUGUUUCCUCAGGAUUCAGGGCAAAAGGAG
Gracilibacillus lacisalsi DSM 19029 is the source of this 32-nucleotide non-coding RNA. Lineage: Bacteria; Bacillati; Bacillota; Bacilli; Caryophanales; Bacillaceae. The record is from Rfam.